AUUGAACGCUGGCGGCAUGCUUUACACAUGCAAGUCGAACGGCAGCGCGGGCUUCGGCCUGGCGGCGAGUGGCGAACGGGUGAGUAAUACAUCGGAACGUGCCCAGUAGUGGGGGAUAGCUCGGCGAAAGCCGGAUUAAUACCGCAUACGACCUGAGGGUGAAAGCGGGGGAUCUUCGGACCUCGCGCUAUUGGAGCGGCCGAUGGCAGAUUAGCUAGUUGGUGGGGUAAAGGCCUACCAAGGCGACGAUCUGUAGCUGGUCUGAGAGGACGACCAGCCACACUGGGACUGAGACACGGCCCAGACUCCUACGGGAGGCAGCAGUGGGGAAUUUUGGACAAUGGGCGAAAGCCUGAUUCAGCAAUGCCGCGUGUGUGAUGAAGGCCUUCGGGUUGUAAAGCACUUUUGGCGGGAACGAAAAGGACUGUGCCAAUACCACGGUUCGAUGACGGUACCCGCAGAAUAAGCACCGGCUAACUACGUG
This 484-nucleotide ribosomal RNA is filed under the name uncultured bacterium. Its description in RNAcentral is "partial 16S ribosomal RNA". It matches the Rfam family "Bacterial small subunit ribosomal RNA", at positions 29 to 507 of the family's 1533-position model. The record is from RNAcentral.